RNAcentral lists this transfer RNA (69 nucleotides) under Solenostomus cyanopterus (ghost pipefish). RNAcentral describes it as "tRNA-Trp". It matches the Rfam family "tRNA". Rfam says of the family: Transfer RNA (tRNA) molecules are approximately 80 nucleotides in length. Their secondary structure includes four short double-helical elements and three loops (D, anti-codon, and T loops). Further hydrogen bonds mediate the characteristic L-shaped molecular structure. tRNAs have two regions of fundamental functional importance: the anti-codon, which is responsible for specific mRNA codon recognition, and the 3' end, to which the tRNAs corresponding amino acid is attached (by aminoacyl-tRNA synthetases). tRNAs cope with the degeneracy of the genetic code in two manners: having more than one tRNA (with a specific anti-codon) for a particular amino acid; and 'wobble' base-pairing, i.e. permitting non-standard base-pairing at the 3rd anti-codon position. The record is from RNAcentral. Lineage: Eukaryota; Metazoa; Chordata; Actinopteri; Syngnathiformes; Solenostomidae.
AGGGCUUUAAGAUAACCAAUCUGAAGGCCUUCAAAGCCUUAUAUAGAGGUUAAACCCCUCUAAGCCCUG